CUACGGGUCGCUCCAGUCGAGAAUCGUCUACAAUGGGGGAAACCCUGAUAGUGCGACGCUGCGUGAACGAUGAAACCCUUCGGGGCGUAAAGUUCUUUUCUCUGUGAGCAGUGUAUUAGAGAUUAAUAAUUUUUGAUAUAAGAUAUUAACAGAGGAAUAAGCCACGGCUAACUCCGUGCCAGCAGCCGCGGUAAUACGGGGGUGGCGAGCGUUGUCCGGAAUCACUAGGCGUAAAGGGCAGGUAGGCGGACCGGUAAGUCAGAUGUUAAAGGCUCAGGCUCAACCUGGGUAAGGCAUUUGAUACUGUCGGUCUAGAGUUAGGUAUGGGAGGACGGAAUUCCCGGUGUAGCGGUGGAAUGCGCAGAUAUCGGGAAGAACACCAAAGGCGAAGGCAGUUCUCUUGGCCAUAACUGACGCUAAACUGCGAAGGUGUGGGUAUCAAACAGGAUUAGAUACCCGUGUAGUC
RNAcentral lists this ribosomal RNA (466 nucleotides) under uncultured bacterium. RNAcentral's name for it is "partial 16S ribosomal RNA". It matches the Rfam family "Bacterial small subunit ribosomal RNA", at positions 339 to 795 of the family's 1533-position model. The record is from RNAcentral.